This is a long non-coding RNA of Triticum dicoccoides, 593 nucleotides long. RefSeq lists it as uncharacterized. Lineage: Eukaryota; Viridiplantae; Streptophyta; Magnoliopsida; Poales; Poaceae. The transcript is spliced from 2 exons. The record is from RefSeq and is a predicted model, not a curated record.
CUUGCCACCGGCUGCAGUGGCAACAACGUCUCCAUGCCUACAUCCUCCGCCAGCGCAGCCACACGCACGAGGCGUGCAGCCAUGGGCGUCGGGCGUGUGCGGCUUCACCGGCGCUGCUCGGUCGCCAUGGCUCUGCUGCUAACGGUGUGGACUAGCCACAUCCUACUGCUACUGCUGGUAAAUAGAUCAAGGCGAAUAGAUGCUUAUGGACUGAUUCAAACCGAGGUGGAGAUAGAUAAGAAAUCAAGCAAGAAGGGCUAACACAACAAGGUACUUGAUUAGUACCUGGUGGCGCAUGCAAACCAAAGAUCUUCACCGCAGUGAAGGACAGCAGUGUGGUAGAAGGUGAAAAGGCAAGUGGUGGGGGUACUCCAACGUAUGUGUGUGUGAGGUAGAAUGGUCCAGUGAAAGGGAUGGCUCCUAUUUAUAGUGGGGUGAAUAGCUAUGUCGGUUUGAAGACACAUUACAUCUGGCAUGCAUGCGUGGUUAGUCUUGCAUGCAUACCUCCACUUGUGUCUCUUAUGGGCUGUACUAUGGACAGGUGUAAUUUGUUUGGCUGGCCCUUAGUUGGCAUUUACUUUAUGUGAAAGAAA